GACUUGCUGUUGAGGCGGACAUGUUGGGUUCAAGCAGUUCCAAAUUGGAUUGCGAACUUAUCUGGGAGUUGGCGCCGAUGGCUUGCAUCUGUUCCGUGUACGGACAGAACUUUGCAAAAUGGCUUGGGAGCCUGCAGUAGUGGAAGAGUUUGGUCGCUGAGGACGACGGAUUAGGUUUCUUGUAACUAGGCGGCUCUUGGAGGGUACUCCUGUGGAAAGCCGUAUUUCGAAUUGCCGAGUAAAAGCUGCUGGUUAGACAGACCGUCGAAUGUGCCGGAUGAUCUGGCGAAUUGAGGCUUGUGGUAUGGGGACUUUCUCUUUUUUGCUGCGGCUGCUCUUGAUAUAGAUGAGCGGAUUUUGGCGGCAUCCUCGCUGUUGUCAGCAAUAUCGGAAUCAACAUAUUCCUUAACAGUGCCCCAGCCAUGUUUAUCUGCUAUGCGUAGAAGUUUGUUCCUGUGACGGAGGUUUUCAGCAGUUCAAUUGCGGAACUGAAAUCCCCUGCAAACAGGUUUUUUUUUUUUUUUUGGGAUACAUUAUCUAGCCCUCGUAAUCUGUUCUGGUUGAAAGUGAAUUGGAUUUUGCUUCCUUCUCCACGGAAAUCAGGAUUACUUGGAGACUUGAACUUGUCCUGAAUUUCGCCCAGAAUUGCUGAAUUUUGCUUUUCAAGAGCCGUCUCUAACCUCUUAUUUAUGGAAAGCCAUAGGGGACCCCCAGGUCAUGUUCUAUAUAUUUCAUUGUAAAUCAAUCCUGGCCGGCCAGGAUAUGUUAUCCUGGCCAAGUCAGGAUUGCAAACAUGACCAGCCAUGAUUUUCAAUCCUGGCACAUCCUAUCCUGGCCGGUCAGGUUAUGAUUUCAAUCCUGGCCAAUAACAUGGUCAUCCAAUCCUCACCUGGCCACCCAAACCUGGUCGGUCAUGAUUUCAAACAUAACCAAGCCAGGAUUGAUAACCUGGCCAUCCAAUCCUGGUCAUGAUUUUCAAUCCUGGCCAAGUCAGGAUAACCUGACCAUUCAAUCCUGGUCGGUUAUGAUUUCAAACAUGGCCAAGUCAGGAUUGAUAACGGUAAACCUGGUCGGUCAUGAUUUUCAAUCCUGGCUAAGUCAGGAUUGCAUUGCGCCAGGAUAUAUGACUUCUAAACGCAGUCAAGAUUUCUCAAGCGUCGCCAAGAUUGGCCUGGCCAAGUUGCAUGUUCGAAUGAUUCAAACAAAAAAAACGCUGUCAAGAUUUCCCAAGCGUCGCCAAGAUUUAUUACCCAAGAUUUUCGCUGAUGAAGAUUUAUUAGGCCAAGAUUUUCAAGGACUUAGAUUACAUCAUUCUAUCUGCACAUGCUGCAUGCCGCUGCACUGAAGACUCAGAAGUUAUUGUGAUAACAAGGUGGGUGGUUUGUGUUUUUCGUUCAGUUAUAUAGAUCAAGUCAUUAUGUUUCUACAUCGCUUUCGCCUUAAAUGUAUUUAAUUAAUCAUUACGCUACUCUCUAUAAUUAAUGUAUGUGUGCCUAUCGAGGAAAUUCGAGUCAAAACCAAAUUCGCUCAUCUCAUAUUUUAUAUGUUGACAGUGCUACCGUUUGAGCGAGCGCAGCUUCUUGUAUGUACAUAUUUUGUAAUGUUCAUGCUUUGAUCAGGUUCAAUUCAAACAAUAUCUAUUUGCCAAAUACUCAUGACAUGAAUUUUCUCUCGGGGUUUUAUAUAAAAAAAAUCAUUAAAACAUGUAUGUACAUGAAUGUGACUGAAAUAUUUUUAUGCUAUAUAUACAUUUUAUUUCUACUGCCUUCACUAUGACUUGCUUAACCUUUGAUGCACGACACUCCUCUGGACUGUAUGCUCUCAGCAGUCUACUGCCUCUAUACGUAUUUCUUUUUUUUUUUAUUCUCAAUCUUUUCAAGUUACGAAUUGUAUGAUAAAAAUGCCCAAACCUUUCAAGUUUGUAAAAUUGGGUUUAAACAGCACUACCUUUGAAUAUAAAAUGCAUUUCAAUAUAAUGAUAAUUUAACACCCCCCCCCCCCACCACCACCACCAUGCGCACCUAUCUGAUUUUUAAAAAAUAUGAAAUUCAUAUGAUAAUCUCCUUGUAGCAAUGGUAUGUUCCAAAAGAGAAAAUUAGAACAAUAUUAAUUUAUAAUGAAGCAAUCUUCUUAGGGUUUUUGUUACUGAUCCCUGCUUCACACCAAAGCACGUAGCGGGAAAAACUAUACAGAAUAAAAUUAUUUCUAAUAAUCCUUAAGCGGUAAAGAAAUUGAUAAUUUACAAUCAUUCAUUACAUUUAACUUUAUAAGCUUUCAUCAAAAAUAAAUAAAAACCUCAUACAUGUAUAGACAUAUAAUUUACACAUCAAUGCAGCCACUGAUGUGUAUUCCAAAGGGACUCAACUUGUCAUACUGGUCUAGAAAAUAAUGAAGGUCCUGAAUGCAACAAUAUUAAUAUGAUACAAAAUAUUUGUCAGACGAGUCAGAUUGCAUGCUCAAUCUUAAUUUUGAUACUUGUAUAUAUAUUUGAUAAAUAAUUUUUUUUGGUUUCAGUGAAAUCCUUAUAUUCCCUGUCUAACUCUUAAUCUCAGAGCAGCCUUUACCUGGUCAUAAUUUGAAGAAAACUUCUGUAUAUCACAUGGACUAAGACUUCUUGCCCAUUGACAUGACUGAUUUAUUUAACCUUUAAACGUAUCCCCAGGUCAGGAUUUGAAUUAGCUUAAAUCUACCAUUAAAGUCAUAUGCUAGAUAAAGAUAAAAAUUAAUACAUGUACUUGCAUAGUAAUAUUGAGCAGACAGUAUAUUCCUAUGUCCAGUUUGACCCUUGACCUUUGACCAUGUGACGUCAAAAUCAAUAGGGGUUAUCUUCUUCUAAAGAUAUACCAGUGUACCAAGUUUGAUGACUGUCAAGCAAAGGGUUCUCUAGACAUUGAGCGGACAGUAUAUUCCUAUGCCCAGAGUAGAUUGACCCUUAAACUUUGACCUGAAAAACAAUAGGGGUUCUCUUCUAUACUCAUAACCAACCCACAUAUUAAAUAUUAUGAUCAAGUGAAUGGUUCUCAAGAUAUUAACCGGACAACAUGUGGUCUACCAACCAGCCAACAGGUGCAAAGUAAUAUGCCUCUCUUCUUUGAGGGGGGGAGGGGGGGGGGCAUAAAAAUGCACUACCCAAAUGGUACCAAAUAUUUUUUUCUUAUUAGAAAAUGCAUUAUAUUUGUGAAAAAUGAAAACAUAUAUUACCUACGUACAAUGUAUCCAUAUAUAACUCUUAAUCUAAAGAACAUGUCUGAUAUGCUUCUGUCUGGUUUCAGAUGCAUUUCAAGCUGAAAUAAAUAUAUAUAAAUAAAUAGCUAUAAAUCUAACUGCUUAAAAAAUCUGAAUUUGAGAAACUUUCAUAAUCAUAAAUUAUUACAAUGCUUUCAAAUUAUAUCUUGAUAGACUAGUGCACUUACAGAAUUAAUCUGAAAACUAUGUAAACUGAUCUUAAUUAUCAUGAUUUAAUUUCUACAUGCUCUGAGAAAUUUCAAAAACAAUGAAGAAUGAUAUUUGAUAACUCAUACAGUCAGGGUCAUUCAAUAAUACUGGACAUUCAUUUCUAGUCUGUGACUGGAUCUAGCCAAGAAAUAGUCAAAAUAAUUCUUCCAUAACAUUGAAGGUCCAAAGUUUUUAGCUCACCUGAACCGAAGGUUCAAGUGAGCUAUUCUGAUCACAUUUUGUCCGGCGUCCGUCUGUCUGUCUGUAAACUUUUCACAUUUUCGACUUCUUCUCCAGAACCACGGGGCCAAUUUCAACCUAACUUGGCCAAAAGCAUCCUUGGGUGAAGGGCUUUCAAGUUUGUUCAAAUGAAGGGCCAUGUUCCUUUCAAAGGAGAGAUAAUCACAAAAAUGCAAAAAUAGGGUGGGGUCAUUUAAAAAUCUUCUUCUCAAGAACCACUGGGCCAGAAGAGCUGAAAUUUACCUGAAAGCUUCCUGACAUAGUGCAGAUUCAAGUUUGUUCAAAUCAUGGCCCCCGGGGAUAAGAUGGGGCCCCAAGGGGGGGGAUCAAAGUUUUACACACACAUAUAUAGGGAAAAACGUUAAAAAUCUUCUUCUCAAGAACCACUAAGCCAGAAAAGCUGAGAUUUACAUGAAAGCUUCCUGACAUAGUUCAGAUUCAAGUUUGUUCAAAUCAUGGGCCCCUGGGGUUGGAUGGGGCCACAAUAGGGGAUCAAAGUUUUACAUACAAAUAUAUAGGAAAAAUCUUUUAAAAUCUUCUUCUCAAGAACCACUAAGCCAGAAAAGCUGAUUUUUACAUGAAAACUUUCUGACAUAGUGCAGAUUCAAGUUUGUUCAAAUCAUGGCCCCCGGGGAUAAGAUGGGGCCCCAAGGGGGGGGGGUCAAAGUUUUACACACACAUAUAUAGGGAAAAACGUUAAAAAUCUUCUUCUCAAGAACCACUAAGCCAGAAAAGCUGAGAUUUACAUGAAAGCUUCCUGACAUAUUGCAGAUUCAAGUUUGUUCAAAUCAUGGGCCCCUGGUGUUGGAUGGGGCCACAAUAGGGGAUCAAAGUUUUACAUACAAAUAUAUAGGAAAAAUGUUUAAAAAUCUUCUUCUCAAGAACCACUAAGCCAGAAAAGCUGAUUUUUACAUGAAAACUUUCUGACAUAGUCCAGAUUCAAGUUUGUUCAAAUCAUAGCCCCCGGGGAUAAGAUGGGGCCCCAAGGGGGGGAUCAAAGUUUUACACACAAAUAUAUAGGGAAAAACGUUAAAAAUCUUCUUCUCAAGAACCACUAAGCCAGAAAAGCUGAGAUUUACAUGAAAGCUUCCUGACAUAGUUCAGAUUCAAGUUUGUUCAAAUCAUGGGCCCCUGGGGUUGGAUGGGGCCACAAUAGGGGAUCAAAGUUUUACAUACAAAUAUAUAGGAAAAAUCUUUAAAAAUCUUCUUCUCAAGAACCACUAAGCCAGAAAAGCUGAUUUUUACAUGAAAACUUUCUGACAUAGUGCAGAUUCAAGUUUGUUCAAAUCAUGGCCCCCGGGGAUAAGAUGGGGCCCCAAGGGGGGGGGGUCAAAGUUUUACACACAAAUAUAUAGGGAAAAACUUUAAAAAUCUUCUUCUCAAGAACCACUAAGCCAGAAAAGCUGAUUUUUACAUGAAAACUUUCUGACAUAAUGCAGAUUCAAGUUUGUUCAAAUCAUGGGCUCCGGGGGUUGGAUGGGGCCACAAUAGGGGAUCAAAGUUUUACAUACAAAUAUAUAGUUAAAAUCUUUUUCUCAAUAACCACUGAGUCAGAAAAACUUAUAUUUACAAGAAAACUUUCUGACAUAGUUCAGAUUCAAGUUUGUUCAAAUCAUGGUCCCCGGGGGGUAGGAUGAGGCCACAAGUGGGGGGGGGGUCAAAGUUUUACAUACAAAUAUAGAAAAAAGCUUUAAAAGAACCAUUGGGCCAAAGAAGUUGACAUUUACAUGAAAGCUUUCUGACAUAGUGUAGAUUCAAGUUUGCAAAGGGUAGUUUGGGCCAUAAUAGGGACCAAGGUUUUACAUGCAAAUAUAUAUGGAAAGUCUUCAGAUAUGGGCCAAGGUGACUCAGGUGAGCGAUGUGGCCCAUGGGCCUCUUGUUGUUAAGGUCACUUAAUUGCUAUCUGUUUUUGUCUGUCGCUGUGCAUAUGUGCAGGUGUGUGUCAUUUGUAAACUUCUCACAUUUUCAAUUCAUUCUCAAGAACCGCUGAUUAAAAGCUGAUUUCAAUUACACUUGCCACAAAGUAUCCUUAGGUGAGGGGAAUUCUUUUUUUUUUCAAAUGAAGGGUAGUGCCCCCUUCCAAGGAGAGAUAAUCAAGAAAAGGUGAUGUCAUUAAAAAAAUCCCUUCUCAAGAAGAGUUGAAUCUUAUCUGAAAGCCUCCUGACAUAGUGUAAAUUCUUUUUUUUUAAAUCAUGGCCCCUGGGGGUAGGGUGGGGCCACAGAAGUGGAUCAAAGUUUGACAUAGGAAUAUAUAGGAAGAAAUCUUAUAAGAUCUUCUCAAGAAGGCCAUGGCUGGCCAUAUUAAAAUUGGGAGCAUCCUUAAAUUGUUCCGAUUCCAGUUUGUUCAAAUCAAGACCCCCAGAAGUACGAUGGUUGAAAUAUUACAUACGUAAGUUUAAAAAAAAAAAAAUUGGCUAUAUAUCACAAUUAUUGGCUAUAUCGAAUCUGUUAUAACAUAAUGCAAGCAUGACUCCUAUUAUAUCAUCUGUAUAGUUCAUUUAUCUGAGCAUUAUAACCUGUGUGAUUGAUUUUCUAUUUUGAGGUAUGAAGUUGAUGAGUUCAAAUUAAAAUACAGCAUCUGUGGACUGUGGAGCUAAGAGAUUUUAAUAUUUUCCUGCACAUUUUCAGACUCUAGUUCAGUAUUGUUACAUGCAAAUUAUCAGGACAGAAUUGGAGGAAGUGAAAUUUGCUUGAAAUAACCAUCGGAUCAGGAAGCAAAAAAUGGGAGAUGUUGUUCCUGGGAUUCCAGAAUUCCUUUAUCAUGUUCCAGAAAUGUUAGGUAUUCCAAUUGUGAAUGACGAAAAGUUUAAGUUCCUAAAGGACCAGUGCUGUUUUAAAAAUGACUUGGAUAAGGACAUUCAAGAAUCUCUUGAUGUUAUAUGCGAUCAUCACCGGCCUUCAUCAGUAUUUGAAGGCAAAGCAAU
Long non-coding RNA from Ostrea edulis (European flat oyster), 6599 nucleotides. RefSeq lists it as uncharacterized. The transcript has 2 exons. The record is from RefSeq and is a predicted model, not a curated record. Lineage: Eukaryota; Metazoa; Mollusca; Bivalvia; Ostreida; Ostreidae.